Molecule: ribosomal RNA, 406 nt
Filed under: uncultured bacterium
Lineage: Bacteria
Description: partial 16S ribosomal RNA
Rfam family: Bacterial small subunit ribosomal RNA
Source: RNAcentral
AUUGAACGCUAGCGGCAGGCCUAACACAUGCAAGUCGAACGAGUGGCGGACGGGUGAGUAAUGUCUGGGAACCUGCCUGGUGGCGGGGGAUAACUACUGGAAACGGUAGCUAAUACCGCAUACCAUCGGAUGUGCCCAGAUGGGAUUAGCUAGUUGGUGGGGUAAAGGCUCACCUAGGCGACGAUCCGUAGCUGGUCUGAGAGGAGGACCAGCAACACUGGAACUGAGACACGGUCCAGACUCCUACGGGAGGCAGCAGUGGGGAAUAUUGGACAAUGGGCGAAAGCCUGAUGCAGCCAUGCCGCGUGUAUGAUGAAGGCCUUCGGGUUGUAAAGUACUUUCAGCGGGGAGGCGUUACCCGCAGAAGAAGCACCGGCUAACUCCGUGCCAGCAGCCGCGGUAAUUC